GAUGAAGAACGUAGCGAAAUGCGAUAAGUAAUGCGAAUUGCAGAAUUCAGUGAGUCAUCGAACCUUUGAACGCACAUUGCGCCCUGUGGUAUUCCGCAGGGCAUGCCUGUUCGAGCGUCAUUUCAACCCUCAAGCCCCGCUUGGUGUUGGGCCCCGCCCGCUGUGGCCGGCCCUAAAGACAGUGGCGGCGCCGCCUGGCCCUCAGCGUAGUACAUCUCUCGCUCCAGGGUCCGGUGGCCGCCUGCCAGAACCCCCCAACUCUGUGGUUGACCUCGGAUCAGGUAGGGAUACCCGCUGAACUUAAGCAUAUCAAUAAGCGGAGGA
RNAcentral lists this unclassified non-coding RNA (324 nucleotides) under soil metagenome. Its description in RNAcentral is "partial contains 5.8S ribosomal RNA, internal transcribed spacer 2, and large subunit ribosomal RNA". The stretch from base 1 to 120 matches the Rfam family "5.8S ribosomal RNA", at positions 35 to 154 of the family's 154-position model. The record is from RNAcentral.